AGCAACGCCGCGUGAGUGAAGAAGGUUUUCGGAUCGUAAAGCUCUGUUGUUGGAGAAGAACGUGUGUGACAGUGGAAGGUUCACACAGUGACGGUAACUUACCAAAAGUGGACGGUUAAUUACUUGCCACCACCCGCGGUAUUACUUAGGUCCCGACCGUUGUCCGGAUUUAUUGGGCGUAAAGCAACCGCAGGCGGUUUAAUAAUUCUGAGUUUAAAGGCAGUGGCUUACCCAUUGUUCGCUUUGGAAACUGUUAUACUUGAGUGCAGAAGGGGAGAGUGGAAUUCCAUGUGUAGCGGUGAAAUGCGUAGAUAUAUGGAAGAA
This 324-nucleotide ribosomal RNA is filed under the name uncultured bacterium. RNAcentral describes it as "bacterial SSU rRNA". It matches the Rfam family "Bacterial small subunit ribosomal RNA", at positions 390 to 706 of the family's 1533-position model. The record is from RNAcentral.